GUGAGUGCUCUGGCAUAUAGACAAGCUUUGUUGUUUUCUCUCGGCGAAAAGCAGGCUUUCCUCACGGCAGAAACGAAGGGAAAACCUCAUAAACACGCUGAAAGUUGCUCUGAACGCUUGUUUCUUGGGAAGUGAUCGUCUUUGUUGCUCCCAGGCGUCUCCAUCCAGACUGGAUGAUUCCCAAAGGCCCUAAAACUGCUGUCAUGAAGCCUCCUCUGAAGGUCAGGUCUCCUCACUGGGCUCACUAGACUGGCUGGAAAAUGCUGCUGCUCGAGUCCUGGCGAGAACCAGAAAAUAUGAGCAUAGUCCAGCACCCGGGUCUCGGCACUGGCCUCCUGUGACUCCGCGGUCUUUUCAUGGUCUUUCACCAAAGUGUCACUCUCCGCCCCAGGUUGUUAUCGCCGUGCCGACGUGACAGCUUCAAGCCGCUUCCUCCAGGAAGAGAGGGGGGAAAAAAAACAUUCCAAAGCUGAGCUGAAAGCGUUUCCUAGGAGACGUGAGUGACAUAUCAUUUGUGUACAGGAUUGACGCUCCAUUGUGCGCGUUAAUAACAAUAAAGGCAGCAGAGAGGUGACGCUAAGUGUUCCUUUGCUGUUAUCCUCUGCUAAUUCUUGGAUUAUUAUUUUAUUGAUUGUAAAUACCUGUCAGCGUCUUUGAGACGCUCCACGAGGCCGAUGGAACCAAAGCGAAGGCUUGUCAGCAGGCGGGGAACAGGGCGGAGUAGGACAGAGCGCACCUAAGCGGGGGCGCCCGAACACCAGCGUGUUCGAAUGCCUCCUCUCUUUAAGCGGGACUUACAUCACGGCGUAGAUGUUGCCACACACGGGCUCCGGAAUUCGGGGAGAAUUUGCACAUAAAGGACGUUGGGUCGUCAGGAGUAGUGAGUGUUAGGUUAGUCUUAGGUGGGCAUCUUAGAUCUUGUAAGGCCGGCGUACCUUUCACUCUCGGGGGACGCGCCCGCUCACUUCCAUGGGUGAAGAUGGAUGUACUGGCUCCUUGCCCGCCCGCAGUGGCCGGGCAAGGAGCAUUGAUGUCAGAUACGUUAUUUCAGGAGAGGCGGAGUGUGUAGCCAUCCUUUUCACCAAACAAUACUGCAAUUCUGGUCCAUAGUCUGGCCUUGACUCCCGCAAGUCCCUGUUAUUUGGUCUACCGGACAAAUCCAUUCAUAACCUGCAACUGGUUCAAAACUCUGCUGCGUCAUAUAAGUCAUAUAACACCUGUCUUGCAACAACUCCUCCACUGGCUUCCGACACUGUAAAAAAAUCCAAAUUGACUCAACUUAAAAAAAAUUGUAACCUCGCUGCCUUAAAAUUUUGAUUAAAAUCUACAAAUUAACAACAAUUUAAAAGAUCAAGUUCACAUGACUUAUUGCUUUGUCUUGGGAACUUUCUUUAUUAGGUCAAAUAAACAAAUAUUUUGUUGUAUCAACAAUAGAACUAGAACUAGGGUCUAGGGGUUAGCGCGCAGACCUCACAGCUAGGAGACCAGGGUUCAAUCCCACCCUCGGCCAUCUCUGUGUGGAGUUUGCAUGUUCUCCCCGUGCAUGCGUGGGUUUUCUCCGGGUACUCCGGUUUCCUCCCACAUUCCAAAAACAUGCUAGGUUAAUUGGCGACUCCAAAUUGUCCAUAGGUAUGAAUGAAUGUGAGUGUGAAUGGUUGUUUGUCUAUAUGUGCCCUGUGAUUGGCUGGCGACCAGUCCAGGGUGUACCCCGCCUUACGCCCGAAGACAGCUGGGAUAGGCUCCAGCACCUCCCGCGACCCUCGUGAGGAAAAGCGGUAGAAAAUGAAUGAAUGAACAAUAGAACUAAACAAUAGAAGUAAUCUCAACUCACUUUUGCUAAUUAGCUCAAGUAAAUUCAACUCACAAUUAAAUUGAAAUUAAUUGAAAUAAUUUGUUAACCUGAUUUGAAAAUGAGUAAUAAAGUAAUGAGUAUAAAAUUCUGCUCCUCACCUUCAAGAACCUUCAUAAACCACCUCGCCCUUCAGUACCUCACCAACGUAUUUAUUUACUCUAUCCCGUAAUUCAAAUUCUGACAUUUUAUGUACCUUUGUGUUUUAUAUAUGUAUGUGUGGAAUUUUAACUUUAAAAUUUUUAUUUUAUCUAUUUUAACAACUCUAUACGGUCACCUUGAGUGUCCUGAAAGGCGGCUCUAAAUAAAAUGUAAGUGCAAGGUUGCGUGCUGCGUGCAAGGUUUUCCUGCAUGCAUGCAGAAAAUGAUAUGCAUCCCAAAUUUCUUCCUGCCGGGUUCGGCUGCUGCGGGUUUGAAACCCCGUGCAGGCCGCAUGCGUGUCUUUUGCAAGGUUCCUCAUUUUUGCAAGAAGGAGAGCGAACAUGGGGAUGUAGCCCCCCUUAAACGUGCAGCGGAGAUGGUAGAUCUUCCUGACGUUGAGUGAGAGGAGUGCACCAUCGCGUCUUUUUGCAUAUCGGGGGGGCAACUUGGAGAUCUAGGAGAUCCUGUUGUGCUGCCAUCACCCGUUUAAAAAGGCAAAUACGAGCCGUCAGAUGGAAGAAGAAGAAGAAGUCUGUCACACGUUUGCCGUGUUCUUUUGAAAGAGAACUCUUCAUCGUUAUGUAGCAACCACCCCUCCUCAUCCUCAUCAUCAUCUAUUCCCCAUGAGAAGAGAAAUCCCUUGGCUCCCAGAGAUGGUAGUAAUCUCUUCUUUAUUUACGUUCUCCAACAACAAGUCAAUGUAUGUUAAUCCACGUAUUCCUCCGUAUGGCUCCUGAAGAGGCAAAGCAGCAUUGUGCUCCAGCGUAGCGCUCCGUGUCGACGACGUACGACACACAAUCAGGGGCUCAAACCUCAAACACAAUCGGGUAUUGGAACAUCGCUUUACUGCGACUACAGAGGACGUUUGUGUAGGAAUUGUGGUCGAACGCUGAAGAUGAACCGAAACGCUCCUCAGUGUUUUCACGCCGGAAUGCUUUGAAUGGGAGGGGGGAAUGUGUGAGUACUCCGAAAUGUUACUAUUCCGAGGUAAUUGGGGGUUUCUGAUCCAACAUUGAUAUCUGAUAUCAAACUGAUACCAAAAUGCAGGGGUUGCUAAUAGCCGUUUCUCAGCGCCAUUAGUUUGGGUACCGAUGCUGUACAAAACCUAAUGCUAAAAUGCUAAAGCUACUUACCAUUGAGAGACAUCUUGAGAAACUUUGGACUGUCCGGUCUCUACUUCCGGAUGGGAUUGGGGAUCCAACACAAAAGCCUACAUAUUAUUAAAAUUGAUUAAAACAGACCGUUUUUGCAGGAAGUACGAAAUCCAAAGCAAUACAGCUGAAUAGGUGCAGAUACUGGAAGAUCUAUGAAGAUUUGUGUGCUGGUUUUGGUGUGUAGCUGCUCUACAGGAGUCCACAAUACGUCCCCUUUGGAAGGGAACCUGACUUGAUUAAUCAAUUUACCUUAAAUAUGUUCUGGAUUGGGGCGGCACGGUGGUCUAGGGGUUAGCGCACAGACCUCACAGCUAGGAGACCAGGGUUCAAUUCCACCCUCGGGCAUCUCUGUGUGGAGUUUGCAUGUUCUCCCCGUGCAUGCGUGGGUUUUCUCCGGGUACUCCGGUUUCCUCCCACAUUCCAAAAACAUGCUAGGUUAAUUGGCGACUCCAAAUUGUCCAUAGGUAUGAAUGUGAGUGUGAAUGGUUGUUUGUCUAUAUGUGCCCUGUGAUUGGCUGGCGACCAGUCCAGGGUGUACCCCGCCUUACGCCCAAAGACAGCACCCCCCGCGACCCUCGUGAGGAAAAGCGGUAGAAAAUGAAUGAAUGUUCUGGAUUAUUUGUAAUUAUGAUGUAUAUUGUUCAUUUGUUGAAAGUGAACGUAAAAACGACAUUUGUGGUUCAUGGCGCCACCCAUGACAAAAUACUUCUUGCAUCUCGUCCCGACGAUCCGCCGGACGGAGCCGGAUGAAGCGUUGGUAGGAUGGAAGUUGAGUUGGGCGGCUGCCCCCGCAACCCGACCUUGGAAGGGAGAAGAGAAAUGGAAUGUCGGUUUUUAAACAUAAACACAGACUCCGACCCUGGACUCCAAAGGGUUAAUAAAAAACUCUGGCGUGAGAAUUCCUUGAACUGAUUUGUUCAUUCCGGCUUCGCCUCAUCUGCUUUGCCUUUCCGGUGGGUUCCUCUUCGGGAAGCGGUGGCUGGCAAGGGCGGUCACCGAUAUGAUUAUCGCCGUGUGUCAAUACAAAAAAAGGCAGAAGUGAGCGGCGGAAGAUUCCCCGCUGAGCUGGAAAAUGAACAUCUUUGACCUCAUCAAGCCCGCGGAAGCGUCUCGGCUAGCUAAUUAAGAUGGAGUGCAGGGAAAAGUCGGCCAUCUUCGCCAGAAACUAAUCAAGCGAGCGCACUUCACUGCUCCGAUAGUAUUUACCGAGGAGUCGGUCAGGACAGGAAAAGGACGGACGGCAAGGCCGCUAAGAAUCUUUGCUGCUAGCUGGGCUCAAACCAGGAGUGUCCAAGCUACUCUUCCAUCUUUCUCAACUCUCUCAAAGCACUCUGGGAUGUGUUCCCAAUUGGCAAAUAUUCCCACUUUUUCAGUGAUUCCACAUUUUUGUUCGAAUUUCAGUUCACUUUUAUUUGUAUUCCACUCGUUUGGAUGCUCGGCUAUUUCCGCAUUUGUCCAACUAUUUCAGCAUCAAAACAUUCAGGAUGUUUUUCCAAUGCCCAAUAUUCCCAGGAUUGCCUUAAUUCCACAUUUUCCACAUGCUAUUCCAGUUCAGCUUCAGAAUUUAGAUGCUAUUAUUUGUACUAUUCCUAUUCCUAUUUCCUAUUCAAAACGUUCCCACAUGAGAAUGUUCAGCUCAUCCGGGACAGGAUGGCUAUGUAUUGACACAUUCCCAAAGAAAUCCUAAAUUGUCCAUAAUUUCACACAUCCUUCAGAUGGAUGACCAUUUUUCAUCGGCCCUGUGAUCCGCACAUUCCUCAGCUGAUUGAAAGCAUUCCCGAAACUCCACAUUUCAACAUGAAAACUUUUUAGACAUUUAUGACACCGUUUUCCUGGAAUUCUGCAUUUUCCAGCCCAAAAAUAAAUCCCUUUAUUUUCCACACAUUAGAAUCGAAGAAUUCUCACUGCGUUCACAUUUAAUCCAAACAUGGCUGAGUUCAAAUCACACAAACAUUCCGGUGACCUAUUUUCAACAUUUGUAAAAUUCCCCCGGUUUCCCAGAAUUCCACUUUUUCCAGCCAAAAAAAUAAAUAUUUGAAAUAAAUCGCAAUCAUUCAAGCAUCACGAACAUUCAAGCUAAGCUUUUUCCACAAUACCAGAAUUUCCACUUUUCCCGCAAUUCCACAUUUUCCAUGCAGCAUUACAGAUCAGCUUCAGAUUUUUUUUCUCGGGCCAUUUCCACAAACGGCCCUGGGGCCACACUUUGGACACCUCUGGUUGAAA
Molecule: long non-coding RNA, 5367 nt
Organism: Doryrhamphus excisus (bluestripe pipefish)
Lineage: Eukaryota; Metazoa; Chordata; Actinopteri; Syngnathiformes; Syngnathidae
Source: RefSeq, a predicted model, not a curated record